Molecule: transfer RNA, 74 nt
Filed under: Aeoliella straminimaris
Lineage: Bacteria; Pseudomonadati; Planctomycetota; Planctomycetia; Pirellulales; Lacipirellulaceae
Rfam family: tRNA
About the family: Transfer RNA (tRNA) molecules are approximately 80 nucleotides in length. Their secondary structure includes four short double-helical elements and three loops (D, anti-codon, and T loops).
Source: Rfam by way of RNAcentral
GCCCCAGUGGCGCAACUGGAUAGCGCGCUGCCCUCCGAAGGCAGAGGUUACUGGUUCGAAUCCAGUCUGGGGUA